CAAUCCCUGAGUAUAGUGGCGACCGGGNGAGUAACACGUGACUACCUGCCCUUGAGUGGGGGAUAACCUCGGGAAACCGAGGCUAAUACCGCAUAAUAUCGCAAGAUCAAAGGAGCAANCUGCUUUUGGAGGGGGUCGCGGCUGAUUAGCUAGUUGGUAGGGUAAUGGCCUACCAAGGCGAAGAUCGGUAUCCGGCCUGAGAGGGCGCACGGACACACUGGAACUGAAACACGGUCCAGACUCCUACGGGAGGCAGCAGUGGGGAAUUUUGCGCAAUGGGGGAAACCCUGACGCAGCAACGCCGCGUGGAGGAUGAAGCCCCUUGGGGCGUAAACUCCUUUCGACUGGGAAGAUUAUGACGGUACCAGUGGAAGAAGCACCGGCUAACUCUGUGCCAGCAGCCGCGGUAAUACAGAGGGUGCGA
RNAcentral lists this ribosomal RNA (424 nucleotides) under uncultured bacterium. RNAcentral's name for it is "bacterial SSU rRNA". It matches the Rfam family "Bacterial small subunit ribosomal RNA", at positions 80 to 537 of the family's 1533-position model. The record is from RNAcentral.